This 183-nucleotide ribosomal RNA is filed under the name uncultured bacterium. Its description in RNAcentral is "partial 16S ribosomal RNA". It matches the Rfam family "Bacterial small subunit ribosomal RNA", at positions 521 to 703 of the family's 1533-position model. The record is from RNAcentral.
UAAUACGGGUGAGGCAAGCGUUGUUCGGAAUCAUUGGGCUUAAAGCGCGUGUAGGCGGCGUCGUAAGUACCUUGUGAAAUCCCUUCUCUCAAUGGAGGAAUUGCUUGGUAUACUGCGAUGCUUGAGGCAGGUAGGGGUGCUUGGAACUCUAGGUGGAGCGGUGAAAUGCGUAGAUAUCUAGAG